CAUUUUAAUUGACAAUAUAUGUGUAAUUUUAGUUGACAAUAUUUGAUAUUUUUAAUUAAUAAAGAAUUUCUAUUUUUCUCUUUCUCGUCUCUAGGUGAACACGCUGAAACAAGUGGGUGGAUUGAAUUUAUCCAAUAUAAUCCCAAAUAUAUUAAAAAAGUUAUUGAGCGACCAUUUUGCACAGACUUUCAGUUACUUAGGACAACGAAACGAAAAGAAAAAUUUCAGUGCUUUAAAAUUAUGCUCAAUUGUGAAGAGAGUGAUACGAAUUCAUAAACCGGAAUCGAGUGAUACACAGAUUGCUGAAUCAAUAUCAAGUUGGUUAGUACAUGCUAAGUGGCGAGAGCUAAGAGCAGAAGCAAAAAUGAGAAAGCAACAGCAGCGCGAAGCAAUCGAUGAAGCAGAGGAUGCGAACUGAUGUGAUGGAAAGAAGCAAUAUAAUAGAUAUUAUACAAGUCAUGUAAAACUCAUAUUUAGUUUAUUUUUUUAUUUUGAAAGUCAUUUAUAUUAUAGUUUAUUAUCCAGUAGCAUAACUACCGGGUCCGUUUUUGUUAAUUUUCACAAGGGUGCAGUAAUAAUGAUCGUACUCAACAGACUUAACAGAUGAGCAAUUUUCUAGUCGCUCGAUG
Long non-coding RNA from Vollenhovia emeryi, 629 nucleotides. RefSeq lists it as uncharacterized. The transcript has 3 exons. Lineage: Eukaryota; Metazoa; Arthropoda; Insecta; Hymenoptera; Formicidae. The record is from RefSeq and is a predicted model, not a curated record.